GCUUGGUUUUUUGUCCUUGCGAUAGUUUGCUGAGAAUGAUGGUUUCCAGCUUCAUCCAUAUCCCUACGAGCUGAUGGGUGCUGCACACCAACAUGACACAUGUAUACAUAUAUAACUAACCUGCACGUUCUGCACAUGUUACAUACCAAAUGUAAACCCUGGUUAUCUCUGAGCUUAUGUGAAUUUUUUUACCUUUUACUCAUUUGUAUUUCCUAGUUUUUAAAAGAAUAACUGUGGGUUAACUAAGCUGAAAUGAUUAAAGACAGAAAGUGUUUAGAAUAAUUGAUAUGUUAUAAAGUAUUCAUAAUUAAUAAUUAUUAUAAAUUAACUUCAUAAAUAACAUUUUGGCACAAAAGAGUUGGCAAAUGAUCAGCAGAUUUGACAAUUCUUUAAAAAUGAACAUUGUAGCAAAUGAAUCUGUUGUGUGUAGCAUGUAAUUACAGUGCUGUGGAUAAGGUGCUAAGCUAUCAAAAGGAAAAGUAUGCUCUAAAUUGGCCUCCUGGAGCAUGAGGGUUGUGAGAA
RNAcentral lists this long non-coding RNA (522 nucleotides) under Pan troglodytes (chimpanzee). Its description in RNAcentral is "long non-coding RNA NONPTRT003928". Lineage: Eukaryota; Metazoa; Chordata; Mammalia; Primates; Hominidae. The record is from RNAcentral.